This 219-nucleotide long non-coding RNA is filed under the name Medicago truncatula (barrel medic). Its description in RNAcentral is "long non-coding RNA (MTRU_LNC003668)". Lineage: Eukaryota; Viridiplantae; Streptophyta; Magnoliopsida; Fabales; Fabaceae. The record is from RNAcentral.
UCUCUCUCUCUCUCUCUCUCUCUCUCUCUCUCCUGUUUCAAAUCUUCAAUUUUAGGGUUUUUGGAUUUGGGAAUUUCAACCCAAUUGUAAAUACUCAAAAUCUCCCCUGUUUCAAAUCUUCAAUUUUAGGGUUUUUGGAUUUGGGAAUUUCAACCCAAUUGUAAAUACUCAAAAUCUCCCCUGUUUCAAAUCUUCAAUUUUAGGGUUUUUGGAUUUGGG